This 398-nucleotide ribosomal RNA is filed under the name uncultured bacterium. RNAcentral's name for it is "bacterial SSU rRNA". It matches the Rfam family "Bacterial small subunit ribosomal RNA", at positions 521 to 916 of the family's 1533-position model. RNAcentral also lists the same sequence under 1 other name. The record is from RNAcentral.
UAAUACGUAGGGGCCAAGCGUUAUCCGGAUUUACUGGGCGUAAAGCGCAUGUAGGCGGUCUACUAAGUCGGACGUGAAAGCUCCUGGCUCAACUAGGAGAGGUCGUUCGAAACUAGUAGACUAGAGGGUGGUAGAGGAGAGCGGAAUUCCAGGUGUAGCGGUGAAAUGCGUAGAUAUCUGGAGGAACACCAGUGGCGAAAGCGGCUCUCUGGCCCACUCCUGACGCUGAGAUGCGAAAGCCAGGGGAGAGAACGGGAUUAGAAACCCCGGUAUUCCUGGCCGUAAACGAUGUCAACUAGGCGUAGGAGGUUAUUGACCCCUUCUGUGCUGUAGCUAACGCGUUAAGUUGACCGCCUGGGGACUACGGCCGCAAGGCUAAAACUCAAAUGAAUUGACGG